UACGUAGGGCGCAAGCGUUAUCCGGAAUUAUUGGGCGUAAAGAGCUCGUAGGCGGUUUGUCGCGUCUGCCGUGAAAGCCCGGGGCUUAACUCCGGGUCUGCAUUCGAUACGGGCAGGCUAGAGUGUGGUAGGGGAGAUCGGAAUUCCUGGUGUAGCGGUGAAAUGCGCAGAUAUCAGGAGGAACACCGGUGGCGAAGGCGGGUCUCUGGGCAGUAACUGACGCUGAGGAACGAAAGCGUGGGUAGCAAACAGG
RNAcentral lists this ribosomal RNA (253 nucleotides) under uncultured bacterium. RNAcentral describes it as "partial 16S ribosomal RNA". It matches the Rfam family "Bacterial small subunit ribosomal RNA", at positions 524 to 776 of the family's 1533-position model. The record is from RNAcentral.